RNAcentral lists this ribosomal RNA (429 nucleotides) under uncultured bacterium. RNAcentral's name for it is "bacterial SSU rRNA". It matches the Rfam family "Bacterial small subunit ribosomal RNA", at positions 355 to 776 of the family's 1533-position model. The record is from RNAcentral.
UAGGGAAUCUUCCACAAUGGGUGCAAGCCUGAUGGAGCAAUGCCGCGUGAGUGAAGAAGGGUUUCGGCUCGUAAAACUCUGUUGUUGAAGAAGAACGGGUGUCAGAGUAACUGUUGACAUCGUGACGGUAUUCAACCAGAAAGCCACGGCUAACUACGUGCCAGCAGCCGCGGUAAUACGUAGGUGGCAAGUGUUGUCCGGAUUUAUUGGGCGUAAAGCGAGCGCAGGCGGUUAUUUAAGUCUGAUGUGAAAGCCUUCGGCUUAACCGAAGAAGUGCAUCGGAAACUGGAUGACUUGAGUGCAGAAGAGGACAGUGGAACUCCAUGUGUAGCGGUGGAAUGCGUAGAUAUAUGGAAGAACACCAGUGGCGAAGGCGGCUGUCUAGUCUGUAACUGACGCUGAGGCUCGAAAGCAUGGGUAGCAAACAGG